RNAcentral lists this ribosomal RNA (254 nucleotides) under uncultured bacterium. RNAcentral's name for it is "partial small subunit ribosomal RNA". It matches the Rfam family "Bacterial small subunit ribosomal RNA", at positions 26 to 285 of the family's 1533-position model. The record is from RNAcentral.
AGGACGAACGCUGGCGGCGUGCUUAACACAUGCAAGUCGAGCGGAAAGGCCCUUCGGGGUACUCGAGCGGCGAACGGGUGAGUAACACGUGAGCAAUCUGCCCCUAGCUCUGGGAUAGCUCCGGGAAAACCGGGAUUAAUACCAGAUACAACCACUUUAGACAUCUUUUGUGGUGGAAAGGAUUCCGGCUAGGGAUGAGCUCGCGGCCUAUCAGCUUGUUGGUGGGUAACGGCCCACCAAGGCGACGACGGGUA